UUCCAUGUACAAGAUAACUAACUCAGCUAGGAAAUGAGUAAAAUCUAGAACAAAAUAUUUAUUGAAUACAAGAUAGCCAUAGCGUUGUCUAUAUUAGACCCAAAACAGGCCCAAAAAAAUGUAAUAGUCACUAAAAACAAACUCAAAAUAAACCUAAAGAAACUUAAAACAGAUAUAAGAUAUAAAACUAAUGACACAAUCUUCUUUUCUUGUC
Molecule: long non-coding RNA, 214 nt
Filed under: Capsicum annuum
Lineage: Eukaryota; Viridiplantae; Streptophyta; Magnoliopsida; Solanales; Solanaceae
Description: long non-coding RNA (CANN_LNC004410)
Source: RNAcentral